Molecule: long non-coding RNA, 2331 nt
Organism: Leopardus geoffroyi (Geoffroy's cat)
Lineage: Eukaryota; Metazoa; Chordata; Mammalia; Carnivora; Felidae
Exons: 3
Source: RefSeq, a predicted model, not a curated record
GCUGAGCGAAGGCUGUGAGGAGGUGCUCCUCGCUGAUGCUGACUCUAAACCAUGUCGGCCAGCCUGGAAGGAGUGGCAGGGACCUCUCGGAUGGGAGGGAUCCCUCCUGUCAGGAACAAUGGCUAAAUACUUUUCAAAUCUGGAGAAGUGAAUGUACAUCCAGAUCCCGGAAAUGGAAAUUUGUUGAUAAAGCAGCACAGCAGGCAGAUGGAAGGAAACCUCUUUCUGUCAGGCCAAAGCAUCGGCUUGCUCUGAAUACUCGAGCUGCAGAUAUGUGCAGAAGCCAUCCUGGAGGGUAAAAGGAGAUUCAUUAAACAUCUACUACGCCUCUUCCUUUCAAAAGUUCUCUUUACCAUCAGGGUGUGGAUAAUUCCUUUCUUGGACACGACCUAAUUAUUUGUAGAAACUAGUUCAUUUGUAUGCCAAAAACUCAAGAGUAAUAAUUGGGUGUGCCUGUUCAGCUGGGGCUGGAGGUCUGUCACCCAGCUUGGGCUCCCUUCCCCACCUCCAGUCUCUUUCUCUGUCUCUCUAAAGAAGAUGGUGGUGGUGGUGAUUGAAAGUAUGCAAUGUUCCACGCAAACGAGACCUUCCUCACAAUUCUCAUGAUAACUGUAUGAGAUAGGUACCACUGUUCUUCCCAUUUACACAUUUGGAAACCCAAGCUUUGAAAAGCUACAUAGCUUGCCUAAGAUCAAACAACUAGUAAGUGGCUGGCCAGAGACUCGAGUCCUUACUGAUCCCACUGCCCAGUUCCCACCCACCAGGAUAUAUGCCUCAUUUAGAAUCUCAGCGGUAUACCUUGGGGGAAGAACUAUGGUCAUAGGCACUGGGCGGGGGGACCUGUAGGGCCUGGGAACAUCUCUUUUCUCUCCACUGCCCCAAAGCCCCAAUGCGCUAGAGCUUUCUCUUCUCUGGAAUCCUGAUUUCCUAUUCAAAUCAGAUGGCAAUGUAAACACUCGUAUUGAUUUGGUUGGAGAAUUGGCCCCAGGUCUGAAUAGAGGAGUCAUUUUAGAACUUAAUUCAUCCUGGAACAAUAGAAGGGCACUGACAGACACAAAGGCAGAGAAUGUUUAAAGCAGGUGUCUCAGCUCCUUAUUCUUAUACAAUCAAAAUUAGGUAACAUUAAUAAUAAUGAUGAUGAUGAUAUUUGUUGACAAUUUACUUUGUGACUGUCCCUGUUCUAAACACUUGACAUGUAUUAACUGAUCCAAUUACGUCACAGAAUUUCUUGCUCAGAUGUUUCACUUUUGCUUUGAGGUAAGGUGACAAAUGUAUCCUUUAUUCUCCGGUUUUAGGACACUCUUCUUGAAACUUGCUUUAGCUACUGAAAUCCCCAGUUAAACUAUUCCGAGUUUAACCUGACCUUAUGAAAUUUGAAAAUUGUGAACAAGUAUAUCCUCUCAGAUCAGUUUCAAGUAGAUGAAGGCACUGAGGGACAUAUCAUACUCGGCACCAACAGUCUUUGUGUUUUCCUUACUAAUCUUCAAUUUGACUAUAAAGCAUAACCCAACUUACCCAUUCAGUUCUGCCCACUGAUUCAUAGUCUAUUUUCACGAAAAGCUGUUCUAUUUGUUCAAUCCUCUGGAAAGGAAGGAAAAAACAACCCCGUUUAUAGAUGGCACAGGAGUAAACUCUUUAUUAGGUUGUUGGGGGAGAGGAUGAAAGAGAGGAAAUCUUAAUUUUUCCAAUUUAUAAAUUUCAUAUUAAAAUGCACCAUACUCAAAGAUCUCUGGAAUGCCUGCUCCAAAACAUGAAUAGGGUGGUUAGUUGGAGUUCAGUGCGCUGACCCUAAAACUCUUUCCCCAUGAGAUACUGGGGCUCCUAGAACUUCUAUCUUGGUAUUCAUGGCCUAUGUGAUCCCCUCCCCUUGAGCAGCUGGCUUGUAGCCAAUAGAAUACCUUAAUGUAGAGGGUAAUGUCAUUUCUAUGAUUAGAUUACAUGAGAACCUAGCUUGGGCCUUGCUCACAGGCUCUCUUCCUGGCUAGCUUUGAUGAGGCCAGCUGCUCUGUUGUCAGCUGCCCUAAUGAGAGGCCCACAUGGCAAGGAACUGAGGGCAGCCUCUGGGCAACAGCCAGCAAGGAAAUGAAGCCUGGCAACAACCAUGUGUCCUCGGAAGUGGAUCCUUCCCCAGUCAAGCUUUCAGAUGAGACACCGAUCAGAGCUACCACCUUGAUUGCAGCCUCAUGAGACGCUCAUGAGAUGCCCUACCGCAGAGAACCCAGCUAAGUCAUGACUAGAUUCCUAACUCACAAAAAAUGUGAGAUAAUAAAUAUGGAUUGUUGGGGGCACCUGGGUGGCUCCAUCAGUCAAAUGUCCGACUCUCGACUUUGG